UGGGGAAUCUUGCGCAAUGGCCGAAAGGCUGACGCAGCGACGCCGCGUGUGGGAGGACGCCUUUCGGGGUGUAAACCACUGUUGCCCGGGACGAACACGGCUAUUCGUAGCCGCUGACGGUACCGGGUGAGGAAGCACCGGCUAACUCCGUGCCAGCAGCCGCGGUAAUACGGAGGGUGCGAGCGUUGUCCGGAAUCAUUGGGCGUAAAGGGCGCGUAGGUGGCCCGGUCAGCGUGCGGUGAAAGCUCGGGGCUCAACCCCGAGUCGGCCGUGCGAACUGCUGGGCUCGAGCACUGUAGAGGCAGGCGGAAUUCCGGGUGUAGCGGUGGAAUGCGUAGAGAUCCGGAAGAACACCGGUGGCGAAGGCGGCCUGCUGGGCAGUCGCUGACACUGAGGCGCGACAGCGUGGGGAGCAAAACA
Molecule: ribosomal RNA, 420 nt
Filed under: uncultured Gemmatimonas sp.
Lineage: Bacteria; Pseudomonadati; Gemmatimonadota; Gemmatimonadia; Gemmatimonadales; Gemmatimonadaceae
Description: bacterial SSU rRNA
Rfam family: Bacterial small subunit ribosomal RNA
Source: RNAcentral